This 497-nucleotide ribosomal RNA is filed under the name uncultured bacterium. RNAcentral's name for it is "partial 16S ribosomal RNA". It matches the Rfam family "Bacterial small subunit ribosomal RNA", at positions 28 to 507 of the family's 1533-position model. The record is from RNAcentral.
GAUGAACGCUGGCGGCGUGCCUAAUACAUGCAAGUCGAGCGAACAGACGAGGAGCUUGCUCCUCUGACGUUAGCGGCGGACGGGUGAGUAACACGUGGAUAACCUACCUAUAAGACUGGGAUAACUUCGGGAAACCGGAGCUAAUACCGGAUAAUAUAUUGAACCGCAUUGUUCAAUAGUGAAAGACGGUUUUGCUGUUACUUAUAGAUGGAUCCGCGCCGCAUUAGCUAGUUGGUAAGGUAACGGCUUACCAAGGCAACGAUGCGUAGCCGACCUGAUAGGGGGAUCGGCCACACUAGAACUGAGACACGGUCCAGACUACUACGGGAGGCAGCAGUAGGGAAUCUUCCGCAAUGGGCGAAAGCAUGACGGAGCAACGCCGCGUGAGUGAUGAAGGUCUUCGGAUCGUAAAACUCUGUUAUUAGGGAAGAAAAAAUGUGUAAGUAACUAUGCACGUAUUGACGGUACCUAAUCAGAAAGCAACGGCUAACUACGUG